GCGGGCGUAGCUCAAUGGUAGAGCACUAGCUUCCCAAGCUCGGGACGAGGGUUCGAUUCCCUUCGCCCGCU
Molecule: transfer RNA, 71 nt
Filed under: Holosporaceae bacterium
Lineage: Bacteria; Pseudomonadati; Pseudomonadota; Alphaproteobacteria; Holosporales; Holosporaceae
Description: tRNA-Gly
Rfam family: tRNA
About the family: Transfer RNA (tRNA) molecules are approximately 80 nucleotides in length. Their secondary structure includes four short double-helical elements and three loops (D, anti-codon, and T loops).
Source: RNAcentral